GAUUGUGGCUCAAUGGUAGAGCAUUUGCCUAGCAUGUGCAAGGUCCUGGAUUCAAUCCUCAGCACCA
Molecule: transfer RNA, 67 nt
Filed under: Marmota monax (woodchuck)
Lineage: Eukaryota; Metazoa; Chordata; Mammalia; Rodentia; Sciuridae
Description: tRNA.Ala
Source: RNAcentral